GACGAGGAUUAUAUAUAUUGCAUGGCUUUCGGACAACCAUGACGGUAACUCCAUACCUUUGGUAUGUUGUCAUGGCUGCAUGACGUACAUCGCAGGGGUAAUGAGUCGACC
This is a small RNA of Aspergillus fumigatus Af293, 111 nucleotides long. It matches the Rfam family "A. fumigatus sRNA Afu_203". The record is from Rfam. Lineage: Eukaryota; Fungi; Ascomycota; Eurotiomycetes; Eurotiales; Aspergillaceae.